AGCUCGAAUAUGAGAUCACAGCCGAUAUAAUAACGAUCGUCAGCCCGUCCGAUAUUGGAGACUUUGAACGAUGGUUGAAGAGAUAAAAACGGACGAAAACAGCAGAUUUGGAACAUUUGAAGCACUACCGUUCGCGUUCCCCUGAUCAAGACUCGAUCGCUGAUAUUAAAAUCGAAGAGUUAGAAUUAAUUGGGACACGGAACAACUAUACUCUUUGAAGCCUGGAAAAUACGAUAGAUCUAGUUGAGACUCAACAGUCAAUAUAAGUUAUGUGGGGAGAAAAUGAGCUACUGGACCCUCUUAAACAGCGACUUUUUCAAAAAAAUGUAGAUGGUCAACGGCUGGCAUCGAACCAGUCAUCUCUGGUUUCGGCCUAGGAAAUUAGGCGCUCAAGCUAGUCAGGCUGUUGAAGUGGGCGAUCUUGUGUGGUAUUUAUAUAGUCAUAAUAUGUAAUGACUAAUAGUGUGAGAUCUAUUUUAAAGAUUCGAAUUACUGUUUGAUGUAUAUAACUGUUCAAUGUUUUUGUUGCAUUAAAAAAGAAGCUGCGGAUUAGUUUCAAGAUCCGCCAGUUUUAAAUUUGCUAAGCUAGUCUUUAUAUUAACUGUGAGUAAUAGUUAAAUUUUGAUAUUAUACUUAUAUUUAUUAUUGUAAA
Molecule: long non-coding RNA, 652 nt
Organism: Bolinopsis microptera
Lineage: Eukaryota; Metazoa; Ctenophora; Tentaculata; Lobata; Bolinopsidae
Exons: 3
Source: RefSeq, a predicted model, not a curated record